AUACGUAGGUGACAAGCGUUAUCCGGAUUUACUGGGCGUAAAGGGCGUGUAGGCGGUCUUGCAAGUCAGAAGUGAAAUUCCUGAGCUCAACUCGGGCGCUGCUUCUGAAACUGCAGGACUUGAGUGCUGGAGGGGAUAGCGGAAUUCCUAGUGGAGCGGUAAAAUGCGCAGAUAUUAGGAAGAACACCGGUGGCGAAGGCGGCUAUCUGGACAGUACCUGACGCUGAGGCGCGAAAGCGUGGGGAGCAAACAGGAUUAGAUACCCUGGUAUUCCACGCCGUAAACGAUGAAUACUAGGUGUAGGGGGUAUCGACUCCCUCUGUGCCGCAGUUAACACAAUAAGUAUUCCGCCUGGGGAGUCCGGCCGCAAGGUUGAAACUCAAAUGAAUUGACGGGG
This 397-nucleotide ribosomal RNA is filed under the name uncultured bacterium. RNAcentral describes it as "partial 16S ribosomal RNA". It matches the Rfam family "Bacterial small subunit ribosomal RNA", at positions 523 to 918 of the family's 1533-position model. The record is from RNAcentral.